Molecule: long non-coding RNA, 4407 nt
Filed under: Octopus vulgaris (common octopus)
Lineage: Eukaryota; Metazoa; Mollusca; Cephalopoda; Octopoda; Octopodidae
Source: RNAcentral
GCUAAAAUUGUUUUUUUUAAGUAAAUAUUUACAUAAUAUUACCAAUAUUUUAUUUUUCCAUUCAAGUUUUAUUUCAAAAUUAAUAUUUCAAUUUUAAUAUUUUUUCUUACCACAAAAUGAAAAUAGAAAAUUUUCCUUAAGUCAUUUUUAUAUUAUUUACUAAAUUUUUUACAUUUUUUUCUUACAACUUUUAUUAUGAUAUUUUCCCCACUAAAUUUAAAUUCUGCAGUGGUCAGCUUUGUCUUUCAUCUUUCCAAAAAGCUGAAAAAAAAGUACCAUUUUAAGUACUAAAGUCAAUUUAAUUGACUACCCUCCUCUCUCCUAAAAUGUCUACUCUUAUGCCUGUGUUAGAAAUCAUUAUUUUUCAUUGCAGUUAUCUCUUUUCUAUGUAUAAUUUACCAUGUAGCCUUUUUAUUCAGUCAAAAUGAUUUUUAUAUAAAUAAUGGCUGGGAUAUUUCACACUAAUGCUUUUAUGCAAUUGCAGUUUAAGUUGCCUUACAUUUUUAUAAAACUGCACUGUAAAAAUUUGUAACAAAAAAAUUAAAUGUAAUCAAUUGCCAUAGUAAAAUAUUUAUAAAAUUAUUUUAAAUAUUUACAAAAAUAUUUUACUAAGGCAAUUAAGUAUAUAUAAUUUUUUAUAUCUUUAUAAAAUUGCAUUUGGUAUAAAAAAAUUAAUUUGUUUCUUAGUAUAUCUUUUGUCAGUUUUUAACCCCCAAAACAUCUUUUAGGAAAUAUAUAAAUUCAUAUUUUGUCUGGAUUUUCUUACAUUUCUUAUAUAUAAAAAAUGCUGUUUUACUUAUUAGGAAACUAAAUAUGUCUGUGUUUUGUUGGUGGGGUGAGAGCUGUAUACCAAAAUCUGAGUCAUUUAAAGGCAUUCAUAUUAAUAUUAAAAUUCUUCCAAAGAACAUGUGGUUUUUAUCAAACAAUGAUAUAAACAGUUAUCACAAUUUUUGAGCGUUUCCAAAUUCUCCAUUUCCAAACCCAGGCUUUGGUAUUGUCUAUCAUAUUAGAUGAAUUUAAAGUUCCUAUAUUUUAAUGUUGGCACUAAGGGCUUUAAAAUUUGUAGAAUAUAUUCUAACAUCCAUGGCAAUAUAAUAGAAUUACUCCCACUGAUUAGGAAAUGAAAACUUUGCCAUUAAAAUUUUUGUAGUUUUCAUUUUUUAAGAAGAAAGAAUACUUCCCUAAACUGUGGGGAAAGUUUGUACAGUUUUUUUUUUAUUUGUUUGUUGUUUUGUUUUUUAAUUAGCUGGAGAGUAAACAUGGGCAAUGAGGAAGUUCCAGAAAGAAGUAGUUCAUAAGAGAUAGGAUUUGGUAAAGUGUUUAUAGUGCAGAGAUUGGGUGACAAGAGGAAGAAAUUUUAUGUUCAUUAUGCAUAUUUGACACAAAGCUAUUGUGCUGAAGGAGAAUAGAACUUGCUGAUUAAGCAAGUGGUUGUGGGUGUUAGUAAGAGUAGACUUGCCUAUCAGAUAUCUUUCUCUAGCUGUAGUCUAGAAUGUGUUUAUUUAUGGGCACAAUCAAAAAGGAUGUUAUUUCAUUUGGUUGAGGUAGCUCAAUGUAUUUUUUCUUAAUUGAUGAUACCAACCAAAUUAAAAUUAUUUUAAUAUUGAUUUUAAAAACUUUGCUUUCUUAUGAACCAAAUAACAUUCUUAGCAUUUCUAACUUUCACUUCUCUUUAUCAUAUUUUUUUAAUUUACCAAUCAUUUUUUUUUCCUUCUUCCAAAUUAUCAAAAAUAUCAUCAUACAAAAUGUCCUUCAUAUAAGACUGCUUGAAGACUGACAUUGCUGUCUCAUCGUGUUAUGCCAAAAACAAAAAGAUAAAGGAAAAGUCUAAAUGCCGAUAUUGUUUUUAUUUAGUAUGACUGUUACUCUGUUAUGUCAACUUGCAUUCCCUCUUAAAUAUGCCUGCUUUUAUUCUAUUUGAAAAAAAAUGUAUAUAUAAAGUACAUAUUAAGUGUUAGUGUACUUUGCAGGCAUUACACCAUUCCUCCUCUUUUAUCACUCCUCUCUCCCUUUUACUCUGUAAUUUGUUAACAUGCAAUUUCAAGUUUCAGUAGACUCUUGAUCUCAUCAUUAUGGCAUACAGUAACUGUUCACUUGUGUCUUUAUUUCUAUUGUUAAAUAUUUAUCUCAAAUGUUACAAGUUGGAAAAAUCUUUCUGAGAGGUAUGAGUUUUGUAAAGCAAGAAGUAAACUACCAGUGAUCUGGAACCACAUUCCAGUUUCAGUUCCUGAUUGGAUUUUCUUUCCUUUCAUUUACACUACUAAUAGUCUUCAGAAAGACAUACAUGUCGCAACUUCUCAUUUCUUCUCUUUCCCAAAACAUAAGAUUUUGGUGCUUAGUCCAAAGAAAUCAAUAUUCUCUGGUUUUUUUUUAACCUCUGUUAACACUUGAUGGAGAAAAGUAUAAAAUGAGUCUAUGUAUUCUAGUCUCAUGAUUUUUUUUUUGUAAUACUUUUAUAAGUUUAUUUUUAUUUUACAGUUUUUAUUGUGAAGCAUUGUUAUUUAGUACUCUGUCCAUUACAAAUGUAUCAUCUGGGAAAUAGUCGUGUCUUUUUAAGAAUUUCAUGAGAAAUGUUUUUCUCUCUGUUUGGAAAUAAUUGUUAAUUGGUAACAUUUUUCAUUUUGACCAAACUGGAAAAUAAUUAUGACAGCUGAAAAUUGAGCCCUCUAUUGGUAGCAAAUAAAAAGAAAAAAGUUUUAAUGAUAUCUCUUUGUAUUUAUACUUCACAAUGUCAAUUGUUUAAAAUAACCUGCUCUAAAUAAAUAAAAAGGAAAAUCCAUUUGCAGCUCUCACUGGACUCUUUAAUUAGAUUUCAAUCAAACGUAACCUUUCUCUCAGGGAAAUACUAAAUAAUAUACACAUCUCAAACUAUAAUUAUAAAAUCAUGUAGCUGUCAUACAAAAUCAACAGUUAGUUUCAUAUUAACAGCUCUGUAGAUUAUUUUAUCAUUCAAAAUGUAGCUUUGAAAAUAUUUAAUUUUCGUGUUAGCAAUUUCAUAUUGAUUAUGCUAUUGUAUUUAUAGUUAACAAAAAAAACUUACCCCUUUUCAUUACAAAAUUAUCCUGUAUCUUGGAUUUUCCUCUUUUAAAAAGUAAAUUCACUGAUACUGCAUUAAUUCUUCAACUGUAGGAACUAUUAUAAAGUUAAAGUCAUACAGCACAAUUUUGUGGCUUACAACUCUUUGAUAUGUUUUACAUGGAUGACUGCUUAAGAACCAAGUGUCUUUAGCUCCAGUUGAAACCUAAACUGCUGAUCAUUGUGCUCAAUUUUGACAAUGAAAUGCUUCUAACUGAAUAUAACAUUUGGGUUUCAAUUUCAUACUGUAGGAGUUUUACAUAUUUAUAUACAUUUAUUUCUAACUUAUGGUGCUAUUUGAAAAGAAAAAUAUUUUCUUGUCUAAAUGUUUUCUUUUUGUUUGUUUGUUUGCACUGGAUAAGUAGGACAUGUAAAUUAAUGAAUGGUAUUUACUACUGAAUUUGAUCUCCUCACAAUUCAUACAGUACCCUUAUAAAGCAAACAUUUUAGGGCAACUGUGAUUUCAGGUCACACUGAAUCAGUGAUCUGGCUUUGGUUCUCAAUUGAAGUUGUUUUGCUUAUACUGGCUCUAAAUACCUUUGGAGAAGCCAUGAACAUCAUAGAGCCUUUGUAAUGAUAGAGAUGUAUUCAAAUAAAGAAAUAAUCUAAUUUGUACAAAUUUCAGAAUCUCCAAAUUUGGCAUUUUACAGUUUUUCAUUUACUUUAGUUUUUACACAUAAAUAAAUUAAAAUAAAACAGCUCUUAAAAUUAAUUUUUUAUAACUUUUAUAUAUUUCCUUUUCAAUUAACAAGAACUAAAUCUUGUACAACUUGAUCUUCUCAGUUAGACAGUGUAAUUAAAAAUAUUUGGAUAUACAUAAUUUAUUUGACAAAUUCUCAUUGCUGGCUGAGGCAAAAUGACUAAUUUAUUGAUUAUUGGUAACUUUCUUUUCAAUAAGUAUCUUUCAUUUUGAGCUGCCCUAAUUUUUAAGUCAACAGUUUUAUCUUCAAUUAUAAAAUUGUAUCUAUCACAGACGUGUAAAUCACUACACCUACUGUUUCACCUAAUAAAAUUUAUUUUGGUACAUUUCAUGACUUUUAGUUAAAUUUCAAUUAUUUGAUUUUAAAAUAUCAAUUAUUUUUUUAAAUUCUGAUACAUAUACCUAAUGUUAACACCACUGAGAGCUUGUAGGCUCCUGGCAAAUCUGCACCCAGUUUUAUUCACAGUUCCAUUUAUAUUUAACUUGUAUCUUGUUUCUGUAAGUGUAAUUGUUGAAAGAUGGGUUCCAUCAGACUUUUCCUCGACACACUUCAUGAAGACAGUCUUCAGUGCUUGUCCAAAAACCUGAUUGGUUACAAGGCUGUUAUGAUUUAAUUUCGUCCAACUUUAUUG